This is a long non-coding RNA of Poeciliopsis prolifica (blackstripe livebearer), 436 nucleotides long. RefSeq lists it as uncharacterized. The transcript is spliced from 3 exons. The record is from RefSeq and is a predicted model, not a curated record. NCBI's taxonomy places the organism in Eukaryota, Metazoa, Chordata, Actinopteri, Cyprinodontiformes, Poeciliidae.
AGGACGAUGGUUCUUUUUCGUCUCCUUAAAAGGCCCGGAAGUUCGGGCAUUUUCUUCAUCACCAUCUUUGCCGUGGUCGUCUUUUCCUUUCCUUUCCUUUCCUUUCCUUUUUUUUCUGCACUCCUCUGUCACACUUCUUCUUCUUGAAUAUUAUUGGCGGUUGGCAAGAAACGUUAGUGAGGUCGGGAGUUGCUGGUGCCUAUCUCCAGCUGAUGUUCCGAGCGAGAGGCAGGGUCACCCUGGACAGGUCGCCAGUCUGUUGCAGGAAGCCUGAGUACCUGGAGAGAACCCACGUAUGGACAGGGAGAACAUGCAAACUCCAUGCAGAAAGAAGGAACAUGCAAACUCCAUGCAGAAAGAGCCUGGGGCCUGGAAUUGAACCCAGGACCUUCUUGCUGCAAGGCAACAUUGCUACCAACUGCACUACAGUGCAGCU